This 66-nucleotide non-coding RNA is filed under the name Buttiauxella sp. BIGb0552. The record is from RNAcentral. Lineage: Bacteria; Pseudomonadati; Pseudomonadota; Gammaproteobacteria; Enterobacterales; Enterobacteriaceae.
GAAAGCACGACAUUGCUCACAUUGCUUCCAGUAUUACUUUAGCCAGCCUUGUGCUGGCUUUUUUUU